RNAcentral lists this RNase MRP RNA (257 nucleotides) under Naegleria gruberi. RNAcentral's name for it is "RNase MRP". It matches the Rfam family "RNase MRP". Rfam says of the family: RNase MRP is an enzymatically active ribonucleoprotein with two distinct roles in eukaryotes. Lineage: Eukaryota; Heterolobosea; Eutetramitea; Acrasida; Naegleriidae. The record is from Rfam by way of RNAcentral.
GUAGCACUGGUCAGUGUUAUCCAAUAGAAGCAAACAUACGAGAGAGUACAAGCUCUCUUCCAACUAAAUACAAGCUUCUGGGAAAGUCUCUGGAUACUACAGAUUUACAUCUGUGCAGGUAGAAAGUACCGACUCGAAUGAGUGCACGCCAAGAGGAAACUCGGACUUUGGUCUCACUGGUUUCUAUCAAUUCUAUAUAGGCAUGAAAACACAAUGUCAUUGGCAUUGAACCAAAUAGAGCUUACUGACCUGUGUUA